This 379-nucleotide ribosomal RNA is filed under the name uncultured bacterium. Its description in RNAcentral is "bacterial SSU rRNA". It matches the Rfam family "Bacterial small subunit ribosomal RNA", at positions 538 to 914 of the family's 1533-position model. The record is from RNAcentral.
GCGUUAAUCGGAAUUACUGGGCGUAAAGCGUGCGUAGGCGGUUUGUUAAGUCAGAUGUGAAAGCCCCGGGCUCAACCUGGGAACUGCAUUUGAUACUGGCAGGCUAGAGUACGGUAGAGGGUGGUGGAAUUCCCGGUGUAGCGGUGAAAUGCGUAGAGAUCGGGAGGAACAUCCGUGGCGAAGGCGGCCACCUGGACCAGUACUGACGCUGAGGCACGAAAGCGUGGGGAGCAAACAGGAUUAGAUACCCUGGUAGUCCACGCCCUAAACGAUGCGAACUGGACGUUGGGCUCACUUUGGAGCUCAGUGUCGAAGCUAACGCGUUAAGUUCGCCGCCUGGGGAGUACGGUCGCAAGACUGAAACUCAAAUGAAAUUGAC